RNAcentral lists this ribosomal RNA (424 nucleotides) under uncultured bacterium. RNAcentral's name for it is "bacterial SSU rRNA". It matches the Rfam family "Bacterial small subunit ribosomal RNA", at positions 355 to 796 of the family's 1533-position model. The record is from RNAcentral.
UGGGGAAUAUUGGACAAUGGGCGCAAGCCUGAUCCAGCAAUGCCGCGUGAGUGAUGAAGGCCUUAGGGUUGUAAAGCUCUUUUACCCGGGAUGAUAAUGACAGUACCGGGAGAAUAAGCUCCGGCUAACUCCGUGCCAGCAGCCGCGGUAAUACGGAGGGAGCUAGCGUUAUUCGGAAUUACUGGGCGUAAAGCGCACGUAGGCGGCUUUGUAAGUUAGAGGUGAAAGCCUGGAGCUCAACUCCAGAAUAGCCUUUAAGACUGCAUCGCUUGAAUCCAGGAGAGGUGAGUGGAAUUCCGAGUGUAGAGGUGAAAUUCGUAGAUAUUCGGAAGAACACCAGUGGCGAAGGCGGCUCACUGGACUGGUAUUGACGCUGAGGUGCGAAAGCGUGGGGAGCAAACAGGAUUAGAUACCCCCGUAGUCC